CAGAGAUAACCUUUGUGAGGCGUAGCAUUUCUACUAUGCAGAUAAUCUAUCAUGACUUACAGUUUUUCUAAUUUAUGAAACUGAAUCCAUCUCAACAUCUUGCUUCCAUAACCCUUUGCAGACUCAUAGGGACCAAUAAACAUCCAGUGAGAGGAAGCCACUGGAACACUCACCACUGUCCUCUCAGGCUUUGAUGCAUGAUUAAAGCUCAAGGCCGGACACAGCUUUGACUUUGCUGUCACUGCAGUGUCCUACAUAAACUGAAAGCCAUACUCUUUUUCAGCCACAAGGGGGAGACCAAGAUUUGGGCAACAGCAGAUAUUUACUUGGAGAAAACUAUUCUGCUACCAACUAAAGCCGGCUUACACUCCAUGAGUCCCAGGAGGAUCAAAGAGGCCAGCCCCGUCAUCGUCAUGGAGAGAAGGAGGAUGCCGCGGCGACCACACCUGUCUACAAUCGUCCAAAGCAACAGCCAGGCCCCACCGCCUGCACACACAGAGAGCAGAACGAGGAUCUAACGUCAGUGCUGCAAACACACCUGUGAAGCUUUCAUCGUCCCUCACGUCUCUGUUGGAGUUCCUUCUCUCGCUGAACGCGUUCAUGUCUGAAGAUCGCUCCGACAGAAGGAGCCAGCGAGGAGAUUCUGGAAACACCCCAGGAACUCUGCAGGAGGAGGAGGAAUAUACUUUAACUCCAGCUCACUCUUUAAUCUCAGAAUGCCUGCAUGGAACUGUCUGCCGCAUGGUGGAGCCAUAAAUCAUAGAGAAGAGAGAAGAGGCAGGUGUAAGACAGCGGCACCCCCACGGCCCGGCCUGCUACAGAGCUGCUUUCAGGCGGUACUCUGCGCUAUCCUUGCUGAUGCUCCUCUUGGUUACCGGGGCCCGCAGAGUUGGCAGGAGGAAGGGGGAGAAGUCCUGGAGUGAACAGCACACAUGCGUUAAAGCCGUGGGUGAGUGUGGUUUGUAUGA
Oreochromis aureus is the source of this 968-nucleotide long non-coding RNA. RefSeq lists it as uncharacterized. The record is from RefSeq and is a predicted model, not a curated record. Lineage: Eukaryota; Metazoa; Chordata; Actinopteri; Cichliformes; Cichlidae. The transcript is spliced from 5 exons.